Molecule: ribosomal RNA, 373 nt
Filed under: uncultured prokaryote
Description: bacterial SSU rRNA
Rfam family: Bacterial small subunit ribosomal RNA
Source: RNAcentral
AACGUAGGAGGCGAGCGUUAUCCGGAUUUACUGGGCGUAAAGCGCACGCAGGUGGCUUCGUUAGUCGGAUGUGAAAGCUCCUGGCUUAACUGGGAGAGGCCAUUCGAUACUGCGGGGCUUGAGGUUGGGAGAGGGGUGUGGAAUUCCCGGUGUAGUGGUGGAAUGCGUAGAUAUCGGGAGGAACACCUGUGGCGAAAGCGACACCCUGGCCCACACCUGACGCUGAGGUGCGAAAGCGUGGGUAGCAAACAGGAUUAGAUACCCUGGUAGUCCACGCUGUAAACGAUGUCAACUGGGUGUCGGUGGUUUUACACUAUCGGUGCCGAAGCUAACGCGUUAAGUUGACCGCCUGGGGACUACGGCCGCAAGGCUA